Molecule: ribosomal RNA, 32 nt
Filed under: Anagyrus pseudococci
Lineage: Eukaryota; Metazoa; Arthropoda; Insecta; Hymenoptera; Encyrtidae
Description: partial 18S ribosomal RNA
Source: RNAcentral
UUUCCGUAGGUGAACCUGCGGAAGAAUCAUUA